UACGAAGGUGGCAAGCGUUGUUCGGAUUUACUGGGCGUACAGGGAGCGUAGGCGGUUGGAUAAGCCCUCCGUGAAAUCUCCAGGCUUAACCUGGAAAGUGCAGAGGGGACUGUUCAGCUAGAGGAUGGGAGAGGAGCGCGGAAUUCCCGGUGUAGCGGUGAAAUGCGUAGAGAUCGGGAGGAACACCAGUGGCGAAGGCGACCUACUGGGCUGCGACUGACGCUGAGAUGCGAAAGUGUGGGGAGCAAACGGG
RNAcentral lists this ribosomal RNA (253 nucleotides) under uncultured bacterium. Its description in RNAcentral is "partial 16S ribosomal RNA". It matches the Rfam family "Bacterial small subunit ribosomal RNA", at positions 524 to 776 of the family's 1533-position model. The record is from RNAcentral.